ACUAGAUUUUCACCGAAAACGCUAAACCUCGGCUGAGAACAGCUGGUGAGAUUACAUGGAGAAGCUGUGACAUCAUGGGAUCUUGUGAAUGGGUGAUUACAUCUCCAAAGGAUAAGUAAGGAAGACCAGAAGCUGUGUGCGUUUUUAACACCUUGUUUAAUAAUUGCACCUAAUACCUGAGAUGAUGUCUGGGCAGGAUUACAGACACACAAGGGUUUCUGUCAAGUUGAUCAAAAUGCGAAGCAAGCAGUUGAGAUAAGCCAUGCCAGGUUCCUGUGUGGCAUGUCAACCCUUCAGAAGAAACUAACUCUUUGAACAGAGUUUAUGUUUGGCAAGACUUUACCGCUGGGGGACACAGGAGAGAGAUGCUGUGGACAACUUGGGCCUAAGAACACAGCUGUGGAUCUGUGUCCCAUUUUGUGGAAGAGGUGAGCUGUUUUCAUUGGAGACGAGGCAGGUUGAGGAAGAACUAGAGGAGGCACCAAGAGAAACAAGAAGCCCAGGGAGUAACCAAAGGAGUGGUCGUGUUUCUCUUGAAAUGACUGCAGUGAGGUGUGGCUGUGAAUUCAACUAA
This 574-nucleotide long non-coding RNA is filed under the name Rattus norvegicus (Norway rat). RNAcentral describes it as "long non-coding RNA NONRATT033713". Lineage: Eukaryota; Metazoa; Chordata; Mammalia; Rodentia; Muridae. The record is from RNAcentral.